AGAGUUUGAUUAUGGCUCAGGAUGAACGCUAGCUACAGGCUUAACACAUGCGAGUCGAGGGGCAGCAUGAUCGAAGCUUGCUUUGAUUGAUGGCGACCGGCGCACGGGUGAGUAACGCGUAUCCAACCUUCCCUAUAGUAGAGAAUAGCCCGGCGAAAGUCGGAUUAAUGCUCUAUGUUGUAUUUAGAGGACAUCUGAAGAAUACCAAAGGUUUACCGCUAUAGGAUGGGGAUGCGUCUGAUUAGGUUGUUGGCGGGGUAACGGCCCACCAAGCCGACGAUCAGUAGGGGUUCUGAGAGGAAGGUCCCCCACAUUGGAACUGAGACACGGUCCAAACUCCUACGGGAGGCAGCAGUGAGGAAUAUUGGUCAAUGGACGGAAGUCUGAACCAGCCAAGUAAGCGUGCAGGAUGACGGCCCUAUGGGUUGUAAACUGCUUUUAUAUAGGGAUAAAGUCGGGGACGUGUCCCCGUUUGUAGGUACUAUAUGAAUAAGGACCGGCUAAUUCCGUGCCAGCAGCGGC
RNAcentral lists this ribosomal RNA (522 nucleotides) under uncultured bacterium. Its description in RNAcentral is "bacterial SSU rRNA". It matches the Rfam family "Bacterial small subunit ribosomal RNA", at positions 8 to 518 of the family's 1533-position model. The record is from RNAcentral.